AACGCUAGCUACAGGCUUAACACAUGCAAGUCGAGGGGCAGCGGGAAUCUAGCUUGCUAGUUUUGAUGGCGACCGGCGCACGGGUGAGUAACGCGUAUCCGACCUGCCCAUGACUCGGGCACAGCCGCUCGAAAGAGCGAUUGAUUCCCGAUAUGUCUUUGGAGUAGAUCCUUGGAUGAAAGAUUCAUCGGUCAUGGAUGGGGAUGCGUAGGAUUAGGUAGUAGGCGGGGUAACGGCCCACCUAGCCGACGAUCCUUAGGGGUUCUGAGAGGAAGGUCCCCCACACUGGAACUGAGACACGGUCCAGACUCCUACGGGAGGCAGCAGUGAGGAAUAUUGGUCAAUGGUCGGAAGACUGAACCAGCCAAGUAGCGUGAAGGAUGAAGGUUCUAUGGAUUGUAAACUUCUUUUAUACGGGAAUAAAACCUCUCACGUGUGGGAGCUUGUAUGUACCGUAUGAAUAGGCAUCGGCUAACUCCGUGCCAGCAGCCGCGGUAAUACGGAGGAUGCGAGCGUUAUCCGGAUUUAUUGGGUUUAAAGGGAGCGUAGACGGGAUGUUAAGUCGGUUGUGAAAGGCUGCGGCUCAACCGCAACACUGCAGUUGAUACUGGCGUCCUUGAGUGCGGUUGAGGUGUGUGGAAUUCGUGGUGUAGCGGUGAAAUGCUUAGAUAUCACGAAGAACUCCGAUUG
Molecule: ribosomal RNA, 690 nt
Filed under: uncultured Bacteroidales bacterium
Lineage: Bacteria; Pseudomonadati; Bacteroidota; Bacteroidia; Bacteroidales
Description: bacterial SSU rRNA
Rfam family: Bacterial small subunit ribosomal RNA
Source: RNAcentral